UACCUAGGUCAAAGAGACAGUUCUGGUUC
This 29-nucleotide non-coding RNA is filed under the name Rattus norvegicus (Norway rat). Lineage: Eukaryota; Metazoa; Chordata; Mammalia; Rodentia; Muridae. The record is from RNAcentral.